GCCUAUGGCCACACCGGACUGAAUGUGCCUAAUCCCAGAAGCUAAGCAGUCUCAGUCCUGGCUAGUACUUGGAUGGGCUUUUAAAAUCAUGACCCCAGGUC
This 101-nucleotide ribosomal RNA is filed under the name Sphenodon punctatus (tuatara). Lineage: Eukaryota; Metazoa; Chordata; Lepidosauria; Sphenodontia; Sphenodontidae. The record is from RNAcentral.